This 239-nucleotide ribosomal RNA is filed under the name uncultured bacterium. RNAcentral describes it as "partial 16S ribosomal RNA". It matches the Rfam family "Bacterial small subunit ribosomal RNA", at positions 331 to 586 of the family's 1533-position model. The record is from RNAcentral.
ACGGACCUACGGGAGGCAGCAGUGGGGAAUAUUGGGCAAUGGGCGCAAGCCUGACCCAGCAACGCCGCGUGAAGGAAGAAGGCUUUCGGGUUGUAAACUUCUUUUCUCAGGGACGAAGAAAGUGGCGGUACCUGAGGAAUAAGCCACGGCUAACUACGUGCCAGCAGCCGCGGUAAUACGUAGGUGGCAAGCGGUAUCCGGAUUUACUGGGGGGAAAGGGCGGGUAGGCGGGGAAGCAA